This is a long non-coding RNA of Harmonia axyridis, 764 nucleotides long. RefSeq lists it as uncharacterized. NCBI's taxonomy places the organism in Eukaryota, Metazoa, Arthropoda, Insecta, Coleoptera, Coccinellidae. The record is from RefSeq and is a predicted model, not a curated record. The transcript has 2 exons.
ACCUUAACUGAUGACCAAUUCGGUUCAUAAACUCACUCAUUUGAUGAUUGUACGAAAAAUCAAUACACCUUACAUUUACGUUUUUCUACAGAGUGUUCAUAAAUAUAUCUAAAAACCUUCACCUUACAUUCCGAUAAAUUUUACGUUCAAAAUUUUACGGAGUUAAAAAAUUAGUGAUUCAUAUAGUCAAACAGACGUCAAUUAUUCGUUUUAUUUACUUUUUUAAAACUAAUUCUGGUAAUUUUUUAAGUCCGUCAACACAUUCCGAGUAGAGAAGUCCAAUGAAAUUUUCACAACUUAGGAGCACGAAUUUUGCGAAGAAAAAUAAAUAAAAUAUAAACAAAUGAAAUAUCUGGGAAACUUUGAUAGAUAAGUGAAUAAAAUUGUUAUUAUCAGUAUAUCCUUCUAUAUUCAGAAUUCUCUAAUCAAGAAAUGAACACAUACAAGGAAAUUUCUGAUUCAUUUCAACACACCUAUAUGGCACCAGCACAAUUGAAACUGAGAAAACCAUGUCUGUCAAUCCCAGCUGUAAUUGAGGACCACAAUUUCUGAUAAUGAUUCGUUGUUGGGAGACGCAAAAAAUCGGUAAAGCAAUGAAAUAUUGGUAGCUGACAGCAGCUCAUAAAAUUUCCAUUAGGUUUUUCACUUUUCAAAUGGGUUCAAUCAUUUUUGAUGGAUAUACACAAAUGUUCAUUUUCCACCCUAAAGUCCCACUAUACAAUAACAUGUACCUAUUGAUUCUUGAAUAAAUAACAAGUACCACA